CAGUCGCCGCGGGAAUACGAAGGGUGCAAGCGUUAAUCGGAAUUACUGGGCGUAAAGCGUGCGUAGGCGGUGAGUUAAGUCUGCUGUGAAAUCCCCGGGCUCAACCUGGGAAUGGCAGUGGAUACUGGCUCGCUAGAGUGUGUCAGAGGAUGGUGGAAUUCCCGGUGUAGCGGUGAAAUGCGUAGAGAUCGGGAGGAACAUCAGUGGCGAAGGCGGCCAUCUGGGACAACACUGACGCUGAGGCACGAAAGCAUGGGGAGCAAACAGGAUUAGAUACCCCCGUAGUCCCUGUCUCUUAUAC
This 301-nucleotide ribosomal RNA is filed under the name uncultured bacterium. RNAcentral's name for it is "partial 16S ribosomal RNA". It matches the Rfam family "Bacterial small subunit ribosomal RNA", at positions 509 to 807 of the family's 1533-position model. The record is from RNAcentral.